Oncorhynchus kisutch (coho salmon) is the source of this 7135-nucleotide RNA transcript. It is a transcript of the gene named glutamate receptor 1, with no coding region annotated. The record is from RefSeq and is a predicted model, not a curated record. NCBI's taxonomy places the organism in Eukaryota, Metazoa, Chordata, Actinopteri, Salmoniformes, Salmonidae. The transcript is spliced from 15 exons.
UGAAUACUGUGCUAGAAUGAUAAAACCAUCGUUCCCUCCCAUUUCAUACUGAUAUAAUAAUUGAAACUCCGCAGACUAUAUCUAAUGUAGGUAGGGCUCUCAGUCGGUUCGUUUAUUGGCAUGGUUAUUCUUCUUAGGUCUGCGUGCACAGCAGAGUCAGCGAAAGAGAGUACCACCAUAGGGAGAGAGCGGUUCUGAAGCUGCUAUGAGACCAGGCUGCAAUACAGUUCUGCAAAUUCAGUUUGUCUAUUACAACUAUGGAUGCAUUGUGAGUCAGUGAACUGACAGAGCCUAGUGAGAAACAGAAGCAGACCUUUUGGAAUUUGUCUCUUUGUUCGUCGCCAAUGCAAAAGGAAAUAUGCAGCGAAGCUUUACCUUGGUCUUUGUCAGUUUUUGUGUUGGGUUUUGCUAUGGGUCAAGUUUCCCAAGUAAUAUCAAUAUAGGGGGAUUGUUCCCAAAAGGCUCCCAUGAAAAUGAGGUUUUUCAUUUUGCACUCUCCCAUCACCAGGAUAUCCCCAGACUGGUACCACAAGUGGACAUGGUCGACACCGCAAGUAGCUUUGCUAUGACAUAUGCAUUUUGUUCACAGUUUUCCAAAGGAGUCUACGCCAUCAUCGGACUGUAUGACAGGAAGACCAUGAACAUGCUCAUGUCAUUCUGUGGGGCUCUCCACGUCUGCUUUGUGACACCCAGUUUCCCCAUAGAAACCAACAACCAGUUUGUGAUCCAGCUGAGACCGGAACUCCAGGAGCCCCUCAUUGCCCUAAUCCAGCACUACAAGUGGACCAAGUUCGUUUACAUGUACAGCUCACAUUCAGGCCUGACAGUACUCCAGAAGAUUUUGGACACUGCAGCAGAGAAGACAUGGCAGGUGACAUCAGUGAACCUGGACAGUGGUAUGGAUCAGACGGCUUUCUUGAAGGUGGUUCAGGACCUAGAGAAGAAGAAGGAGUACAACAUCAUCCUGGACUGUGAGCUGGAGAGACUCAACAUGAUCCUCAACCUGAUCGCUGCUCAGAAGAAAAACCUAAAAAAGUAUCACUACAUAUUGGCAAACCUGGGCUUUUUGGACAUGAACUUCACCGAGUUUCAGAAGAGUGGUGCCAAUAUCACCGGGUUCCAGCUAAUGAACUACUCUGACGAAAAUGUCAGCAAGGCCAUAGAGGAGUGGGUGGACUUUGACAGCAAAGACCUCAAACUACCCAAGGGAAGACUGAAGUACACAGGAGCCCUCACAUACGACGGAGUGAGCGUCAUGGCAACUGCGUUUCAGAACCUUCGGAAGCAGCGUAUUGACAUUUCCCGGCGAGGUAAUGCUGGCGAGUGUCUGGCCAACCCACCAGCUCCCUGGGGCCAGGGUAUCGACAUCCAGAGAGCCCUACAGCAGGUUCGGAUUGAGGGAUUGACUGGACAUGUCCAGUUUAACGAGAAAGGCCAUCGGACCAACUUCACAGUCAGCAUAAUGGAGCUGAGCCCAAGUGGACCACUGAAGGUGGGCUACUGGAAUGAGAAUGAGAACUAUGUGAACACAGCCGUAUACACGCCGGUGGUUGAAGAAUUCUUCGGACUGCAAAACAGGACAUACGUUGUGACCACUAUCCUUGAAUCUCCAUAUGUGAUGCUAAAGAAGAACCACGAGCAGCUGGUGGGGAACGAUAAGUAUGAGGGCUAUUGUGUGGAGCUGGCCGCCGAGAUCGCCAAGCACGUGGGCUACACCUAUAAGCUAGAGGUCGUGAGCGAUGGCAAGUAUGGAGCCAGAGACGCUGAGUCCAAGAUGUGGAACGGGAUGGUGGGCGAGCUGGUUUAUGGGAAAGCGGAUGUGGCAGUAGCCCCGUUGACCAUCACCCUGGUAAGAGAGGAGGUGAUCGACUUCUCCAAGCCCUUCAUGUCCCUGGGCAUCUCCAUCAUGAUCAAGAAGCCUACCAAGUCCAAACCUGGAGUCUUUUCCUUCCUGGAUCCUCUGGCCUACGAGAUCUGGAUGUGCAUUGUGUUUGCUUACAUCGGCGUGAGCGUGGUUCUCUUCCUGGUCAGUCGCUUCAGCCCGUACGAGUGGCAGGGGGACGACUCCGAUGGGGAGGAGGGUCAAGAGCAGCAGCAGAGACAGCAGCACAACCAGCCAUCGUCCUCCAGUCCCAGGAGAGAGCCAGGUCAGUCCCAGUCCCAACAGGGCCAAAACCAGGGCCAAGGACAGGGACAGGGCCAGGGGCAGAACGAGGGGCACACCAAUGAGUUUGGGAUAUUCAACAGCUUGUGGUUCUCUCUGGGCGCCUUCAUGCAGCAGGGCUGUGACAUCUCGCCAAGGUCCCUCUCUGGUCGCAUCGUGGGGGGCGUGUGGUGGUUCUUCACCCUCAUCAUCAUCUCCUCCUACACGGCCAACCUGGCUGCUUUCCUCACAGUAGAGAGGAUGGUGUCACCCAUAGAGAGUGCUGAGGACCUGGCCAAGCAGACAGAGAUCGCCUAUGGUACCCUAGACGGAGGCUCCACCAAAGAGUUCUUUAGGAGAUCGAAGAUCGCCGUGUUUGAGAAGAUGUGGUCCUACAUGAAGUCUGCCGACCCGUCAGUGUUUGUGAAGACCACAGACGAGGGCGUGGUGCGGGUCAGGAAGUCCAAAGGGAGGUAUGCUUACCUGCUGGAGUCCACCAUGAACGAGUACAUCGAGCAGAGGAAACCAUGUGACACUAUGAAGGUGGGCGGGAACCUGGACUCUAAAGGAUACGGCAUUGCCACGCCCAAGGGAUCAGCACUAAGAAACCCAGUAAACUUGGCAGUGUUAAAACUGAACGAGCAGGGCCUGUUGGACAAAUUGAAAAACAAAUGGUGGUACGACAAGGGCGAAUGCGGCAGCGGGGGAGGUGAUUCCAAGGUCAGCCCCAGUAUGAGAAACCUAGCGGGUAACCACGACGAUGGGGGUAACCGGCAAUGUACCUUGAAAAACACACUGGCUGCAAUACCACAAAUCCCCCUUCGUCCUUGGUGACGUUAGUUUGUGUAACCGUAGAACUAUACUGUAUUAUAAAUUCUUCAAAAAUGUGCCGUUUACUUUCAAAGUAGUUGUAUUAGCAAUCCCCGAAAGAACACAGUUUUGAGUAUGUUUUGACUACUGUCUUUAUAGAGCAACAAUAAUUGACAGGUUUGCAUAUCUGAGUGUUUACAUUUUGCCGGUUACCCAAAGUGAUAUAGUAAUACACAUCUUGCAGUAGGGAGAAAGGACACAAAAGCUAGAUGGAGUAUUAAUGCAUAUCACUUUGGCAGUGACAGUUUCAAGUUGUGAUUGUGUUUUUUUUGUUUAUCUAUCUAGAUAUCUAUACAUAAUAAUGGGUGUAUGUUUACUAUGUGCUGAAUAACAUAAGAUAACAUGGGUAAUGUUAUUUAUGUUAUUUCCCUGGUUGAAGAAUCCCCGUAAACCUAGCGGUGUUGAAACUCAAUGAGCAAGCCGUCUUAGACAAACUAAAGAACAAAUGGUGGUACGAUAAGGGAGAGUGUGGAAGCAAGGACUCCGGAAGAAAGGUCAGUCCAUGUGUUGGUCCUAUACUUAACACCAAGAUUGAGCAUUAGCACUUCUGUAAGGUCCCUCGUCCCCUCCCUAGCACUCAGCACUUUUUCUCUUUGUCUCCAAUCUGCCAUUUACCCAAACUGGUGUCCUUAUAACUGCGAUUCAUGUCAGCGUGGAACUCAGACACCUUAGUGAUUAGUGUUAAUUGCUGUGUCCUCACGUCCUAUGGAUAAGUCAACGGCCCGUAAUUAGAUCUUGGCAAAUGCUUGUUUCAUCUAACCAAAACGUAUACCUAGUGUUGGAUUCUCUUCUCCAAAAUCCGAGUAGCUAAUGCUGAUGCAGCCAAUUGUGAUGAUAACAAAUAGAAGUUGUAUUGUGUAUGAAAAACAUGGCUAAAAACCAUAAAGUUACUGUCAGCUUUUCCCAUGUCUGGGAUAUUCUUGAGUCAUCAACGGACAAAGUAUUCACUGUUUGCUGACUGAAUUUAAUUUUGAUUGAUUUGUGAUCUUAACUUUCAAAAUCGAAUAAAGAGACACAAGUGUAAAUGACGGUGCGGAGAGAAAGCCCUUGAUACGAGACCAACUCCAUAUCUCGAUCUUCUCUCCCAGAAUCGGCCCCUCUAGUGCUGUUUUCCUCGUCUCUGUCUUUUAUUUAGACAGUGUGCAUGCUAUUGUAUAAGACCCAAGGCACGGCCUGUUGGCCACCAAACCCAGACCAUGCAUGUCAUGGAUGUGCACAACCCUCUUGUGGUGUCAUGACUACUAUGGUUUGUCGGAACCAAUUGCCCUCCCUUAUUUGGUGCAUUUAUUUGAAAAUGUAAUGAUAUCUUAUAGAGGUACCCCUACCUAUGAAGUAAACCUAAAACAAUGUUGACCUUUUUUCCUCUUGCAUGGUUCCACUCUAUUUAGAAUACACAACACCAACUACAUAUAAUUCUGGGACUUCCUGGUUUAAGUAAAGGAUAAAUAAAUAAGCGAGGAGAUGUAGAAUGGAAUUCAUGGUUUUUUUCAUGCAUAUGUGAUUUUGACUGAGUGGAAAUUAUGUCACGUAAAAGAUACAGUAUACCAUAAAUGCACAUGAAUUCGCUACUUUAUGAGGAUAUGUUCACCCCAAGCUUGUUAGAUAUGCAUGACUCUGCAUGUUUCCGUCAGUCUUAGACACAUACUGUAUCAAGUUUGUUGUUGAUAGGAGUCACUUAAAUUAGAAAGGCAUGCCAGCACCUUUAUAGGUGAUAAACAAUAACCUGUUGAUUAAUCAUGAAGGCACGCUUAAUGGUAUGCGCCGUAUAAGGUCACUAUGACAGUGUAGUAGCCUUAGAGAGCAGUUGUAUGUUUAUCCUACCUUUUAUACUUGUGUAUUAUGAUGUGCUGUGGUGUGUCUCUUGGGCGUGAUUUGGUGCAGCUCACCCUGUGUCUCUGUGUCUGUAGGACAAGACCAGUGCUCUGAGCCUCAGCAAUGUGGCUGGGGUGUUCUACAUCUUGAUUGGUGGGCUGGGGCUGGCUAUGCUCGUGGCCUUGGUCGAGUUCUGUUACAAGUCCAGGAUUGAGUCCAGGAGGAUGAAGCAAAUCAUUGAUGCGGCCAUGCUGAGCUCCACCCUGAGCAGAAUGACCAGGACAGGGAGCGGGGGAGAGAACGGACGGCUGGUCGCACAUGACUUCCCCAAAGCUGCCCAGACUCUCCCCUGCAUGAGCCAGGCGGGCAUGGGCCUGAGCACCACGGGCAUGUGAUCGGGCAGCCUUUCCCCAAACCCCACAAAAAUGAGGAAAGGAAAAAGAGAAGGUGGGAAAGUGUUGCACUGCGGCAUUUCGCUCAACCGCCACUGAACUACUGCCAAGAGGAUUCACUGACUGCUCACGUUGGACUCCUGAAGAUAGAAAAUACGAACAAAAUGACUUGUCUAAAGAGAUUUAUCCGGAUCUCUUCUGCUGCAAUAAAGAGGCUGUCUUGGACUUUGAUCGAGGGCAUAAUUUCGAGGUGUAUCUAAAAAGAGAAGCUCUUCCCCCAACCCAAGAAUAGUGACACUUAUUGCACUAUGCCAAUUCAGUUUGUCCUGUUUACUUUGAUAUAUCAAUAACAGUCAUGAACAGCUAUGUCGUCUGCCUUAUACUGAACAGUGGUUUUGUUCCUUGAGACGCAAAGAUCCAAGCAUUUCCAAAUCCAAACAUUUGGCUCACAUCCACUUAGUACACUAUCUAUAGAUGCAUACAGUAUACUGAAUAAAAGUAUUGUUGUAUGUUUGCACUGGAAGGACACAUCACAGGACUGGAUGAUUUUGUUUUGUCAUUCUGUUAAUGUCACUCCAUUGAAAUGGAAUGCCUCCUACUUACAGAUGUCCUCUCUAAUUUGCUCAACACCUGACAUGGUGAAAAAUGUGACAUUUUGAAAUGACUAUUUAGAGCAAAGUUUUUGUGCAGACAUGACAUAUUUCCCAACCAUUUUCUCUGUUGUUCAUAAAUGUUUUAAACCACCAGUCUGUAGGCAAUCUAUUACCUGUCAUUUGAUACCACAGUGAUAUCCUUUAAGUGCAGUGACGUUUGGCAAGAAUCCAACUAGAUUUCAAACUGAGGUGAAAGGAUUAAACGGAGUACAGAUAGAAGAGAUGAUAAUUUCUACCUGCUAUUUCAUGAUGCAUUUUGCCAUUAAUACUUCAGGGUUGAAGUAUAAGCCAUUGACAAAGAGAUGGAAAUGUUCCACUACCAAUUAGCUGGUAAGUAGAUGGCAGUACAACAUCUAGUGGUUUAACAUCUUUGACAUUAAUGAGAUGAUUAAUAGAGUGGCUUUAGAGCUGCAAAUGAGGGGAUGUGAGAGGAUGGCAGAAUUAGCCCACAAAUUAAGGUGUGCCUUUUUAUUUAACUCUACGAAUCCACUAACAUUUCAUUCUUUUAAACCUACUAAAUUAAAAUAAGGCAUAUGAUUGAAGACAGUUUCCCACAGCUGAUCCAUAGUACAUCUAAGGUGAGUACCAGUACAUGAAUGGAUUUGUGAUAAACAUUCCCAUUUAAGAACACUCUUAAAAUGGACUCAAAAUACACACUGUAUAUUAUACAUGGUAUUCUACUGUUAAGGGAAAGCAUCUCAUAGUCCACUGAGCAGCCAUCCAUCGUAUCUGUUACUAUCCAUCACCUAAUAUGUUACUGUAUGACUUGAGAGUAAUUGUAUUCUAUACAUUUUCUCCCUAUUUGUCAUCAUCUUUGGCAUAGCACAAUAAAAGGGAGUGUCACAUAACAGAAAAUGUUUUUGUACCUUAAUCAAUUUGUUAAAAAAAUUAAUAAUAUCCACAUUUGUAUGAUAUGAACUAUAUGUGCAGACACCCUGAUGAUAUUGAAAUGGUGUUCCAUUCAGUUGACUAUUGGUUCAGACAGUUUUGUUUUAAUCUGUUUUCAGUCCAAUUCAUUUUGUGCAUUUAUAGUGAGAUUCAAUGUAUGUUGUCCUUUAAAUACUAUUUUUUGGUCUGCCACUACUUUGUUUAAUUUACUUCUAAAAAUGCAAGAAACAGCUACCUUAUGUCUUUGUGUUCACAUUUGUCUCAAGAGAUAACUUUUAGAAAAGACUAAUCCAAGAUGUGACUUGGAUUUCAAUAGGUGGGGACAUAAAACUUUGUUUAGUCACAGUGCUCUCAAUAAAAUAACUUUUGUAACCACA